AUGUCCCACCAAUUUAUUUCCACUCAGUUCCUUUCCCUAGGACUCAGCAAUGGGGUCCAGGCAAGAAUAGUCUGGUGGAUGCUGGUUCCCAGGUGCUUGGUCCAUGGGGCCAAGACCAGGGCGGGAGUUUCUCUGUUUCAGCCACAGGGCCUCAAGGAAGAGCCGGUACCAGAUGCGCACCCUGUUCCAAGCCUCUUUGUGCUGCCGUGUAGGGAGAGGCACGGUUAUGGAGUCACAGCUCCUCAGAGCAGCAAAGAUCGCGAGGGAGUCAAGGGAUGGAGCAGCCCCAGCUCCCUGCUGGGCUGGAGGAGGGUGGCGAGUUCUGCCCUUACGGAGACGCUAUGCACAACUGAUGAGGAAUUCUCAGCAUCAUUUGGGGCUCGUCCGGAAUGUGACUCAAGCAUACCCUUUCGAAAGCCUGGUGUUAUGGACUGCCUGUGCGUCCCCCCAAAAUGUGUAAGUCUUAAUCCUCAGUGCAACGGUCUUUGCAGGUGGGGUCCGUGGGAGGUAAUUAGGUCAUGAGGGUGGAGUCCUCAUGAAUGAGAUUAGUGUCCUCAUGAGAAGAGGCGUGAGUGAGAGCAUCUCUUGCUCUCUCUCUCCCUCUUGCUCCCUCUCUCUACCACGUGGGGCCACAACAAGAAGUCAGCUGUCUGAAAGCUGGAAAGAAGACCCUCACUAGGAGCCGGAUCUACCAGCAUCUUGACGGUGGGCUUCCAGCCUCCAGAACUGUGCGCAAACAACCUCCGCUGUUUAAGCCGCCCAGGCUGUGGUGUUUCGUGAGCUGACUGAGACCUAGUAAAAAGUUGGGGUGCCAUGCAAUAAGCAGAGUCCUUGCCUUGGCCCGCCUGGCUCCCACCAGGCCAGGCAAGCAUCCACACUUCCACCCAUCCCUCUUUACAGAGGGGCUGUUUAUCUGAGUAGCCACAGUGUUCUAGGCCCUGGGGAUGGAGCAGUGACCAAAACAGACAAAACUCCCAGCCCUCAGGGAGCUGAGCGCUGUUAGAGGAGUUAGAGGCAGAUAGGAUGGUAGGAAAACUCCACGUCCUCGUUGUGUUGGUAUCAGAAGGUGGUGAGUGUACUGGGGAAAAUACAGCAGAGAGGGCCUGGGAAUGUAGUGGGGCCUCGGGCCCUCACUGACCUGGAUCCUACCUCUCCCUGGCUCGAGCCUCCCUGGUUACCCCAUGGUCUCUCCCUGAUGCAUGGGAGCCUUUUCUGG
Molecule: long non-coding RNA, 1216 nt
Filed under: Macaca mulatta (Rhesus monkey)
Lineage: Eukaryota; Metazoa; Chordata; Mammalia; Primates; Cercopithecidae
Description: lncRNA (ENSMMUG00000050776.1)
Source: RNAcentral